RNAcentral lists this ribosomal RNA (379 nucleotides) under uncultured eukaryote. RNAcentral describes it as "partial 18S ribosomal RNA". It matches the Rfam family "Eukaryotic small subunit ribosomal RNA", at positions 592 to 976 of the family's 1831-position model. The record is from RNAcentral.
CAAUAGCGUAUAUUAAAGUUGUUGCGGUUAAAAAGCUCGUAGUUGGAUUUCUGCCGAGGACGACCGGUCCACCCUCUGGGUGUGCAUUGGCUUGGCCUGGGCAUCUUCUUGGAGAACGUUACUGCACUUGACUGUGUGGUGCGGUAUCCAGGACUUUUACUUUGAGGAAAUUAGAGUGUUUCAAGCAUGCAUACGGCUUGAAUACAUUAGCAUGGAAUAAUAAGAUAGGACCUCGGUUCUAUUUUGUUGGUUUCUAGAGCUGAGAUAAUGAUUAAUAGGGAUAGUUGGGGGCAUUCGUAUUUAACUGUCAGAGGUGAAAUUCUUGGAUUUGUUAAAGACGGAUUACUGCGAAAGCAUUUGCCAAGGAUGUUUUCAUUGA